Molecule: ribosomal RNA, 433 nt
Filed under: uncultured bacterium
Lineage: Bacteria
Description: partial 16S ribosomal RNA
Rfam family: Bacterial small subunit ribosomal RNA
Source: RNAcentral
AACGAACGCUGGCGGCAUGCCUAACACAUGCAAGUCGAACGAGACCUUCGGGUAUAGUGGCGCACGGGUGCGUAACGCGUGGGAACCUGCCCUUAGGUUCGGAAUAACUCCCCGAAUGGGGUGAUAAUACCGGAUAAUGUCUUCGGACCAAAGAUUUAUCGCCUUUGGAUGGGCCCGCGUUGGAUUAGCUAGUUGGUAGGGUAAAAGCCUACCAAGGCGACGAUCCAUAGCUGGUCUGAGAGGAUGAUCAGCCACACUGGGACUGAGACACGGCCCAGACUCCUACGGGAGGCAGCAGUGGGGAAUAUUGGACAAUGGGUGAAAGCCUGAUCCAGCAAUGCCGCGUGAGUGAUGAAGGCCUUAGGGUUGUAAAGCUCUUUUACCCGGGAUGAUAAUGACAGUACCGGGAGAAUAAGCUCCGGCUAACUCCGUG